RNAcentral lists this long non-coding RNA (655 nucleotides) under Panax ginseng (ginseng). Its description in RNAcentral is "long non-coding RNA (PGIN_LNC004306)". Lineage: Eukaryota; Viridiplantae; Streptophyta; Magnoliopsida; Apiales; Araliaceae. The record is from RNAcentral.
GUAUCUUUGACUUCUUUUGCUAUAGUUAUUCUUUCAAUUUAUACAUUUUUUGGAGAUACCCAGAUGAAACUGUUGAUAAAUGUGGAAUCUUUCAAAGAAUUCUUGGUAUGUGCAAGUGUUUUGAUGUGAUUUUGGAGAUACCCAACUGAAAUUCUCUUUAAAUAUGCAGAUUCUGAUAAUACUCUUGGAAUUUGACUAGGGUAUGUGUUUUUGAAGUCUAAAUUAGUUCAGUGGUUCUUGUUUUGUUUUUGUUUUUGUUUUUAUUUUUUGUUUUUCCAACUAUGCUUGAUGAGUUUGGUUUUUGGGGUUUUCAUUUCUCUAUUUGAACUAUCUUCAUUUCUUUACUUUCUGAGCUAAUUGUUGUGCGUCAGUUUUAACGGUUAUGUACCCCGGGAACAUUUGUUCUACAAUUUGUGAAGAUUUUCAUCAAUAUCUAACUUUGAUCCAUAAGAGAGUUGGUAUGGACGCAUUUGGGGUUUAACAAGAUGUUCAUUUUUUAUAAUGGACUUAACACUGGCUCAACUCGCAGUGAUUUACCUGAUUUAUAAUGAUAAAUGUUUUUGCGAGCAAAAUUUUUAUAAUGAUAAAUGUUUUUGCGAGGAAAUUGGGAGCUUUUAUUAUGAACACUAUGUUAGAGUACUUGACAAGGGAGAGC